RNAcentral lists this ribosomal RNA (464 nucleotides) under uncultured bacterium. Its description in RNAcentral is "partial 16S ribosomal RNA". It matches the Rfam family "Bacterial small subunit ribosomal RNA", at positions 338 to 795 of the family's 1533-position model. The record is from RNAcentral.
CCUACGGGAGGCAGCAGUAGGGAAUCUUCCACAAUGGGCGAAAGCCUGAUGGAGCAACGCCGCGUGGGUGAAGAAGGUCUUCGGAUCGUAAAACCCUGUUGUUAGAGAAGAAAGUGCGUGCGAGUAACUGUUCACGUUUCGACGGUAUCUAACCAGAAAGCCACGGCUAACUACGUGCCAGCAGCCGCGGUAAUACGUAGGUGGCGAGCGUUAUCCGGAUUUAUGGGGGGUAAAGGGAACGCAGGCGGUCUUUUAAGUCUGAUGUAAAAGCCUUCGGCUUAACCGGAUUAGUGCAUUGGAAACUGGGAGACUUGAGUGCAGAAGAGGAGAGUGGAACUCCAGGUGUAGCGGUGAAUGCGUAGAUAUAUGGAAGAACACCAGUGGCGAAAGCGGCUCUCUGGUCUGUAACUGACGCUGAGGUUCGAAAGCGUGGGUAGCAAACAGGAUUAGAUACCCUAGUAGUC